UAUAAAUUGCUGGGAAGUGAGUUGCUGGCUAUGGCUUGUCAGAGCAAAUAUAUUGUACAAAUCUUAGGGGAGAAUUAGUGCUUAUGCAUUCAAAUCAAAUCAUCUUGCAGCACACUGAGAAAAAGGUUAGAUUUUUAAAAUAAUUUCGAAGUCAUGAAAAGAGCAAAUAUGCUCAACAAAGAGCCUAGCAACCCUCAAUGACCAAUUCCCCUUUUAUAUAGUUUGGUAUCUGAAUUAGAAUCCCAGAAUCUACAAAUUCCUCUGGGUGUGGGUGCUGCAUUUUGAGGAUUUUAUAACACUGCCAUCAUCAAGC
RNAcentral lists this long non-coding RNA (313 nucleotides) under Homo sapiens (human). RNAcentral describes it as "HSALNT0230374". Lineage: Eukaryota; Metazoa; Chordata; Mammalia; Primates; Hominidae. The record is from RNAcentral.